RNAcentral lists this ribosomal RNA (517 nucleotides) under uncultured bacterium. Its description in RNAcentral is "bacterial SSU rRNA". It matches the Rfam family "Bacterial small subunit ribosomal RNA", at positions 553 to 1071 of the family's 1533-position model. The record is from RNAcentral.
ACUGGGCGUAAAGGGCACGCAGGCGGUGACUUAAGUGAGAUGUGAAAGCCCCGAGCUUAACUUGGGAAUUGCAUUUCAUACUGGGUCGCUAGAGUACUUUAGGGAGGGGUAGAAUUCCACGUGUAGCGGUGAAAUGCGUAGAGAUGUGGAGGAAUACCGAAGGCGAAGGCAGCCCCUUGGGAAUGUACUGACGCUCAUGUGCGAAAGCGUGGGGAGCAAACAGGAUUAGAUACCCUGGUAGUCCACGCUGUAAACGAUGUCGAUUUGGGGAUUGGGCUUUGAGCUUGGUGCCCGUAGCUAACGUGAUAAAUCGACCGCCUGGGGAGUACGGCCGCAAGGUUAAAACUCAAAUGAAUUGACGGGGGCCCGCACAAGCGGUGGAGCAUGUGGUUUAAUUCGAUGCAACGCGAAGAACCUUACCUACUCUUGACAUCCAUGGAAUCUUGUAGAGAUAUGAGAGUGCCUUCGGGAACCAUGAGACAGGUGCUGCAUGGCUGUCGUCAGCUCGUGUCGUGAG